AUUGAACGCUGGCGGCAGGCCUAACACAUGCAAGUCGAACGGUAACAGGAAGAAGCUUGCUUCUUUGCUGACGAGUGGCGGACGGGUGAGUAAUGUCUGGGAAACUGCCUGAUGGAGGGGGAUAACUACUGGAAACGGUAGCUAAUACCGCAUAACGUCGCAAGACCAAAGAGGGGGACCUUCGGGCCUCUUGCCAUCGGAUGUGCCCAGAUGGGAUUAGCUAGUAGGUGGGGUAACGGCUCACCUAGGCGACGAUCCCUAGCUGGUCUGAGAGGAUGACCAGCCACACUGGAACUGAGACACGGUCCAGACUCCUACGGGAGGCAGCAGUGGGGAAUAUUGCACAAUGGUCGCAAGCCUGAUGCAGCCAUGCCGCGUGUAUGAAGAAGGCCUUCGGGUUGUAAAGUACUUUCAGCGGGGAGGAAGGGAGUAAAGUUAAUACCUUUACUCAUUGACGUUACCCGCAGAAGAAGCACCGGCUAACUCCGUG
This 490-nucleotide ribosomal RNA is filed under the name uncultured bacterium. RNAcentral describes it as "partial 16S ribosomal RNA". It matches the Rfam family "Bacterial small subunit ribosomal RNA", at positions 30 to 507 of the family's 1533-position model. The record is from RNAcentral.